CCGGGCACUGCAGCCGUGCAGGAUCUCCCAGCGCUCUGGAGUCUGCAGGGGAGGAAACUGGGGGAGGGGAAGGGGAAGUGCCCCGCGGGACAGUCUGCAGAGCGCGGCCUUCUCUCUUGGGGGUACCCGCUCGUAACCACGAGUGGGAACCUCGCGGCGCGGGACGACCUUAACACCGGGAGAGGAGCCUGCACUUCCCGCCACGGCCGCUGGGUGUCACUGAAGCCGCGCGGCUGAGCCGGCUCGGCGCCGUCGGAAGGCGGAGGCGUGGGUCCCGGGAGCCGCAGGACCGGAGCCCGCCGCGUCGGCGCAGGCCCCCACCGACUCGCAAUGAAGAACAAACUAACCCCCUUGCCCCGCGACGGAUGGGCUCAUUGAUGUGGAGCCACGCGAGCCACCUCCCGCCGGCCCGGCGAUCAACGGCGCGUACUCGGCUGCCCUGUGGGGCUGGGUGCGCUGAGCCCAGCCCUCGAAGCGCGCCCCCUGGUGAAAUGCGCGGGGCUUCCCGCCACAGAAGCCAAGGCGGCUCUACCGAGUCCGGCGCCCGUCCGCGACAGCAACUGCAUGUAGGCCGGGUUGUUCCUGGGGAGAAGGGAGCGGAAGGGAGCGGAAGGGCGGGCGCCGGAUGCAGCGGACCUUCCGCACGUGCUGCCGAGCUAGAGCAACUGCGGGAUGCGUCCCUGAGUGCAUCCUCACUCCUAUUCCAGCUUCGCCCAACUCUUAGGUCACGUGCUACUCACCCAGACGCCCCUCCCCACCCCGCAGCACACCCCUUUGAUGUGUGGGAAGGGCUGGCUCAGCUGAGAGAAGGGAACCAGAAGAAGCCAGAGAUCUCAGCUACUCAGCAAGGAUGUCCAGCUGACAAUUUCUAGUAUCCCGCUCAGGGCUGAGCCAGCUGCCACCUCUAAGGACCCCUAGCAGCCCAGGUUCCUCAUAGUGGCCAGCACUGAGAAGGGAGGGGGCAGAGAACAAAGGGCAGGGCAAGGAAGCCUGUGUUCCACCACCUUCAAGAUGG
This 1015-nucleotide long non-coding RNA is filed under the name Equus asinus (donkey). RNAcentral describes it as "lncRNA (ENSEASG00005038654.1)". The record is from RNAcentral. Lineage: Eukaryota; Metazoa; Chordata; Mammalia; Perissodactyla; Equidae.